RNAcentral lists this long non-coding RNA (507 nucleotides) under Mytilus galloprovincialis (Mediterranean mussel). The record is from RNAcentral. Lineage: Eukaryota; Metazoa; Mollusca; Bivalvia; Mytilida; Mytilidae.
GAAUAAAAAGAGUACAUGCUGGCAAUCUAGAUUGAUUGAAAUAAACCUGUUAAAUAAAUGCGUGCAAAUGUAAUCAAAAGCUGAGUGCAAAUGUAAAACAUUUUAAUUCCCAAAUGUGUGCAAACAGAGCGCACCCAUUAAAAGGAGAUGUGGUACUAUAGUAUAUGAUUGGUAUUGAGACCACUCUCCACAAGAGACCAAAGUAAGUUAACUAUUAAAGGCCCCGAGAUGAGCAUAUUAUCCUGUCUGAAAAAAAGGAUUCAUUACUUUUAUUAAUUAUUUAGUCAUGAUACGAGAUCCUAAGUAUUUAUUACGUACUUCUGGAAUAUUUGCUGCUGCACAAUAAGGGAGGCAACAUAUAACGUGCAAUGGGGAUUUCAAACUUAUAAGACGAAAACAUACCGACAAUGCCAGGCAAAAUAAAACGAAAAACACCUGAGUUCUUUGAAAUGUCAAAAUUGCCUUAUUUUGAGCAGGGACUUUCUAUACUAAGUCCCUGUUUUGAGG